UUAAUGCAAUUCUCCUUAAUGCAAUUCUCCUUACCAGUAAGUGUUCUGACAACUACAAACAUGAACUCUCACAAGUUUUUAAUUUAUUGACAAGGGAUAAAUAAGAGAUAACAACUAUUGCUUACACCAUAGCCUAUUAGUGUCGGUAACGUUACCUACCAUCACACGUUACGGGCAAAGUUGCCGACAGUAGAUUCUUCUCCUGCAAGC
This is a long non-coding RNA of Etheostoma spectabile (orangethroat darter), 210 nucleotides long. RefSeq lists it as uncharacterized. The transcript is spliced from 3 exons. NCBI's taxonomy places the organism in Eukaryota, Metazoa, Chordata, Actinopteri, Perciformes, Percidae. The record is from RefSeq and is a predicted model, not a curated record.